Molecule: ribosomal RNA, 188 nt
Filed under: Lysinibacillus sp. KCTC 33748
Lineage: Bacteria; Bacillati; Bacillota; Bacilli; Caryophanales; Bacillaceae
Description: partial 16S ribosomal RNA
Rfam family: Bacterial small subunit ribosomal RNA
Source: RNAcentral
UUUUAUGGAGAGUUUGAUCCUGGCUCAGGACGAACGCUGGCGGCGUGCCUAAUACAUGCAAGUCGAGCGAACAGAGAAGGAGCUUGCUCCUUUGACGUUAGCGGCGGACGGGUGAGUAACACGUGGGCAACCUACCUUAUAGUUUGGGAUAACUCCGGGAAACCGGGGCUAAUACCGAAUAAUCUAUU